UACGAAGGGGGCUAGCGUUGCUCGGAAUCACUGGGCGUAAAGCGCACGUAGGCGGAUUGCUAAGUCAGGGGUGAAAUCCUGGAGCUCAACUCCAGAACUGCCUUUGAUACUGGAAAGCUUGAGUUCGGGAGAGGUGAGUGGAACUGCGAGUGUAGAGGUGAAAUUCGUAGAUAUUCGCAAGAACACCAGUGGCGAAGGCGGUCUGCUGGGCAGUUUCUGACACUGAGGCGCGACAGCGUGGGGAGCAAACAGG
RNAcentral lists this ribosomal RNA (253 nucleotides) under uncultured bacterium. RNAcentral describes it as "partial 16S ribosomal RNA". It matches the Rfam family "Bacterial small subunit ribosomal RNA", at positions 524 to 776 of the family's 1533-position model. The record is from RNAcentral.